CUCCUUGCGCAGUGGCAAUAUCGUAACCAAUGAAGGUCUCCUGAGGUGCGAUUAUUGCUAGUUGAAAACUUUUACCAAAUUCUAGCUUUAUUUCUUUCAUAUAACAAAAGAUAUGUUCAAAAAAAUAUUCA
This 131-nucleotide small nuclear RNA is filed under the name Rhodnius prolixus. Its description in RNAcentral is "U4 spliceosomal RNA". It matches the Rfam family "U4 spliceosomal RNA". From Rfam's summary of the family: U4 small nuclear RNA (U4 snRNA) is a component of the major U2-dependent spliceosome. The structure of U4 snRNA from yeast and human has been reported. Lineage: Eukaryota; Metazoa; Arthropoda; Insecta; Hemiptera; Reduviidae. The record is from Rfam by way of RNAcentral.